GAUGAACGCUGGCGGCGUGCUUAACACAUGCAAGUCGAACGGAAAGGCUCCUGCUUGCAGGGGUACUCGAGUGGCGAACGGGUGAGUAACACGUGGGUGAUCUGCCCUGCACUUCGGGAUAAGCCUGGGAAACUGGGUCUAAUACCGGAUAGGACGAUGGUUUGGAUGCCAUUGUGGAAAGUUUUUCGGUGUGGGAUGAGCUCGCGGCCUAUCAGCUUGUUGGUGGGGUAAUGGCCUACCAAGGCGUCGACGGGUAGCCGGCCUGAGAGGGUGUACGGCCACAUUGUGACUGAGAUACGGCCCAGACUCCUACGGGAGGCAGCAGUGGGGAAUAUUGCACAAUGGGCGCAAGCCUGAUGCAGCGACGCCGCGUGGGGGAUGACGGCCUUCGGGUUGUAAACUCCUUUCGCUAGGGACGAAGCGCAAGUGACGGUACCUGGAGAAGAAGCACCGGCUAACUACGUG
This 465-nucleotide ribosomal RNA is filed under the name uncultured bacterium. RNAcentral's name for it is "partial 16S ribosomal RNA". It matches the Rfam family "Bacterial small subunit ribosomal RNA", at positions 28 to 507 of the family's 1533-position model. The record is from RNAcentral.